AAAAGUGGAAGGUUUGAUUGAUUUCCUCAUUUAAGAUAUAUCCAUGUUAAUGAGCAAACUUGAUGUGUACUUUUUUUCAUUUACUUCUUUUCUGUUUUAUAACUUUGAACAUCUUAAUACGUUUUACUUGAAAACAAAUAGUCCUUAGUUAAAUAAGGCAUUUUAUCCUUCAUGUUAUAUGCCUAUUAGCACAAAGAGUGUUUUGAUAUGUUGUAAUCUUUGCAUAAGCAAAGAAAUACGUUUUUAAAAAUGAAUCCUCAUGUAUCUAAAAUUAAACAUAGUUCAUACUGCUGUUGUAUAAAGUAGUACAUGUCUCAUAAAUGUGGUUUUGAUUUUGUUCAACUGUGUUCCUUUCAUGUGUACAUGAUUCCACAUAACUUUUAAAUGGACAUUUUUAAACUUAAUGUACCCAGCAUUAAGUUCUUGCACAUUCAGAAUAGUAUCACUUAUUAGAAAACAGUUUUUUCUUUCAUUCUCAGCAAAUUACUUGUUGAAGUUUGGUUCUGCCAAACUGAAAAAUUUGUAGCUCAAGCUUGUUCUUUAAAACAUACAGAUAAAGCUGUAAAUUUAAAGAAUUUUGAAUAUAAACUCAAGAAAUGAUAUUUAGUAGCUGGAAAGUGGAGGUUGAGCCUUUUUGGCUACCAUUUUAUAAUGUCUUACUGUCACAUUAGUUCAAAGAUCUGUUGUACUGUUGAACUGAUACUUUUAAAAUUCUAAUAAUCUUAAUCUCAACUGUAGCAUUGGUAUUCCUAAGUGAAUAGCAUCAGUUCAUUUUUCAAGCAUUUGUAAGAUUUCAAGUACUGUGACAUGUAUUUCUUGUGUGUGACAUGAAGCUAUUAUGUAUAUCCAAUAUUUCUGAUAGAUCACACUAAUAGACACCAAAGGUUCAACAAACUGUCUGUGCUCAUUGUCAUUUAGAUUAUAUGCAGUAAUGGUGACUCUUAAACCCAAUCAGAAGCUCAUCAUCGGAAUUGGGUAUUUUCUUAAACAAAGCAUGACUUAUUUCUCAGCAAACUAUAGAAAAAUACCAUAGAGUGUAACUUCAACAUGUAGUAAAACAAAAAAUUUAUUCUAAAGGCCCAGACUCCAGUCCUUUUAUGAAAGGCAUUACCUUCACAAAGAUUAAGGACAGGCCACUAGAUGAAAAAACUAUGCAAAUACUUUUACAGGACAGAAAUUUCCUUUUCAUCAGGUCAACUUUUUUUUUUUUGUCUCAUUUCCAGGCCCCACUUGGAAGGUAUUGAAUUACCCAACCUUACUUUUGAGAUGUGGUGCACUACACAUAAUGCAUAUUUCAAGUUUAUCCAAAAUAGAGGUUAAAAAUAAAAGCAAGAAAAAUUAUGCUUGCAAUACAAAAACAAAUUCAUC
This 1368-nucleotide long non-coding RNA is filed under the name Marmota monax (woodchuck). Lineage: Eukaryota; Metazoa; Chordata; Mammalia; Rodentia; Sciuridae. The record is from RNAcentral.